CUUGUUUGGUUUGCUAUUCCUGAUUUCUGUCUAUUUCAAUCUUUCAUAUCCUAAAUAUUUGUUUGAUAACACAACAACACUUCAUGGCAACUUGAAUCUUAUUGAAGUAAGACAGACUCUGAAAAAAAGAGACAACAUGCUCUGAAAAUCUGUAAUAAUCUUCAUUCAACCAAUUUUAAAUAUUUUCUUUAAAAUUAGACAUUCUUUAAACUCUGAAAAAACCCUUUUACUAAUGUAUAUAUUAUCCAUUUUUUUAUAUAAUAAGAUUAUUAUUCAAGCAAUAUUUCUCUAGAGUAUAAAUAGAUCUUAUUGUAAGAACAAGAACAAUAUUUUUCGGUGAGAAUUGGCUGGACAUUGAAUCUAUAUAGAAAUUCAUGUAGAGACAUUGCAUAAAUAUUUCAAUACAUAUAUUGAUGAAAGGUUGUUAAAGGUGAUGGUUAGAACAAGCUUUUUCAUGCGACGCCUAGGUGUCGCAUAUGCGACCAUGCACUCCAGCGCAUGUAGGCGUUUGCCUUCAUGCCUUCCGGGUUAGGCCUUUUCUUCCCUUCCCUCCCACCUUUGAACCCUAAACCCUAGAUUUUCAUAUCAUCUUCCCACCCAUUUUCUCCGGCCAUCUUCGAGGGAUACUUCGGCCACCACAAGGAAAGACUCUGGCGACCUCCAGGCGUGCUCUGGCCAUCGUCGACCUCGCCGCCGGCGACCUCCGACCAUCGUCGACCUAGGUAAUUUUUAUCUCAAAUUUUUUAUCUAUUUUUCCUAUGUGUCUCCUAUCUGUCCAGACCUAGUCCAACGAGCUCUUAAAGAACACUCCGGACAACAAUUAAUUCAUCUCUGUCUAGCCACAUUAAAAUCACCUCGGACAACAAUUUAAUCACUCCAGACAGGAAUUUGACAUUAGAUUUUUGAAGGUAAAAAUCUAAAAUUUAAAUUGUAAAUUUAUUUUACAAUUUACAUACCUAAAAUCUAACUUAGAUUGUUGGAUUGUAUUUAUUUUUAAAAUUUUCAGAAAUGUCGGAUGAUGAAGAAUACCUUCCUCCAUCAAAUGAAGAACAAGUAGAGGAGGAGGUAGUGAAGUGGCACUCUUCGUUUUCAGAAGAAAUCAUUAAUAGUAAGACGAACCGACCGAAAUCCGAUGAUCUCGGAUGAAAAUACGGUUUCAUGAAAGAUCGAUCGAAUCAAAACAAUGUUCGAUAUCUUCUAUGUAACUUUCUUUCCAAGAGUGGAAUAGAUCGGUCGAAGGGUCAUCUUACGGGAGGAGACAAAAAUUGUGUGAAAUGUCCUAAUGCCCCGAGAUUUGUCUCAAGAGAAAUUGCGAACUAUGUUGCCAAGAAGAAAUUAGCGGCUAGCAAAUGCAAGGGCAAGCUACCAUUUAUUCCAUUGGUUGACAUCGUCGAUUUAGAUGACCUUAGCAAUGAGCGACCAUUGAAGAGGAAGUUGACGGUCUCCGGUUUCGUUUCAUCGUCUCCAGUCUCCUUCGUACUCGGUCCGUUACAUCUGAAGAAAGGGGAAACUAUUCAUGAUAUCGUCCGGAAAAGGAAGAUCGAGAAACAGAAAUCCGUCGUUGAACUUGCCAAAAAAAAAGAUAAGGCAAUGGUCGAUAAAAUCUUCUCAGGUUGGAUGUACAAAGUUGCAAUGCCAUUUAACCAAGCCCAAGAUAUUGAAUGUGAAGCGACUUGUGAAGCCAUUGGACGAUAUGGUCCGACAUGCAGGCCUCCAAAUAUGCGACAGUUGAGAGAGUCUCUUCUAGAAGAACUUGUGGGUGACAUCGAUGGGAUGAGAGCCAGACACGAGAUAAAGUGGAAGACCAAUAACUGUACUUUAUUGUCCGAUGGAUGGACGGACGCUAGAGGAAGAAACCUCAUCAACUUCUUGGUGAAUUCGACCGAAGGAUCUUUUUAUCUGUAUUCCAUAGGCACGACACAUGAACGGAAGACAACUUCUUACAUUGCAAAGACAUUAGAUCAAACAAUACAAGUCAUCGGUCCGAGUAAUGUGGUACAGAUAUGUACAGAUAAUGCGGCGAACUAUGUUAGUACCGGAGAAAUAUUGAUGAACAAAUACGACCAUUUAUUCUGGACACCAUGCGUAGCUCAUUGCAUGGAUCUAAUUUUGGAGAACAUUGGUAAAAUGACCAGGUACAAGAAGAUGAUUGCUGGUGGUCACAAGAUAGCGACCUACAUCUAUGCCCAUGGCGUUCUCCAUAGUACUUUCUUGACCGCAUCAGGUGGGAAAGAGUUGGUGAGAUGCAGAGUCACAAGAUUCGCAACUUCUUUUCUCACAUUACAGAGUCUGAAAGAACAGAGGGAUAAUUUGAAGAAGAUUGAUUGGUUCCCCUGGGCUAAUGUGACUUAUGGAACUGAAGUUCAAAAAUUAAUCUGCAACAAUUCUUUCUGGUUGAGCUUAUAUGAGUGUCUGACCAUUUCUGAACCGCCAGUGAGGUUGCUGAGAAUAGUCGACCAAGAUGAACAACCAUGCAUGGGCCAAGUUCUGAAUGACUUGAAGAGUGCAAGGAAAUACACUAGAGAUAUGUUGGUAAACAAGAAUCUGCCAUUGCUAACCCAAAUUGACAAGAUCUUUGAUAAGCGUUGGGAGAAGCAUUUCAGCAAACCUAUCUUUGGUGUCCGUGCCUUCCUCAACCCCAACGUUUUCUAUCGUCUAUGAGAAUCUGCUGAUGAGUAAGUAAUUGAUAUUCUUAAUUUUCAAUCUGAAUUUUCAAUGACUUAUUCCUUUUACGUUGUAGUGACGAACGAAGUCUAGUUUCGAAAUACGAAUUAGACUUCCAAACUUGCUUGAUGAAGAUGGAGUCGGACAAGGAUAAAAAAUUAGAAUUGUUGAACCACGCAAUGAUAUACAAGGAUAGGUUGAGACACUUCAUAAUGCCUUUAGCUGUGGAAUCUUCAUAUUCAAUGAACCCGGGUAAGAAUGACGAUGCAAGACUCAUGAGUUAUGGUUAAGUCAUUUAUACUCGUUUAAUGAUUCAUGAUAUGUUUUUUUACAGUUGCUUGGAAUUCAUUUGGUCUUAGGACCUGUGACCUUAGUGUGAUAGUAAAGAGGAUCUUAACACAUUCAGUCUCAUAAGUUCUAGUUCAAUACUUUAAUAGUUCAAUGACUUAUUGUUGAAUAACGUUUUUUGACUUUGUUCAAUGACUUAUUGUUGAAUAACGUUUUUUGACUUUGUUCAAUGACUUAUUGUUGAAUAACGUUUUUUGACUUUGUUCAAUGACUUAUUGUUGAAUAACGUUUUUUGACUUUGUUCAAUUGUUAUUUAGAUCCAUACAAAGAGACACACUCGUCUUGAAGUCGAGCGAAUGGGAAAGCACGUCUACAUUCACUACAACAAGCGAUUGAAUGAACGACAAUUGCAACGCAAACUAGAUUGUAAAGACAGACUCCAUAGCAGCGGAAGACAUAAACUAUAACUCUAAAUGGAUAACUGGCGAGGAAGGACUCGCCAAUGAGUGGGUUUAUGGUGAUGACAGUCUUACUUGGGUAGCCCUUGAAGACGCAAUGGGCGUCAAUGAAACAGAUGGUUCAACUACUAGACAAUAUAUUAGAGGAGUCGAAAACAAAGGGAGAGUUGGAUAUGAGAUCAAUGCUCAUCCCUCUUCUAAUUAUGCAAUCAUACGUAGCAUAUUUGUUUUAGGAAUGCUAGAAGUCCAAAUUCCUUUGGCAUAGGGCCUUCUUGCCUCUUUAGUUUGAUAGUCUUUUGAAUAUUAGCAAGCAACCAUUUUGAUCCACUCCCAAUCCAUUCUAAAUCACCAUUUGCAUUUUAUUGCCUACAUUGUGUGGAUACCUCUUGUUGUUUCAUCAUGUUUCUCCAAGAUGAUGAGUUGUUAUAUCUGUUGUAGCCAUCGUUUAACCACACUCUACUACCGUCCACAGUCCAUCCAUAGUCUUCCAAUUCUCUCUAUGAUUGCCAAUGUUUGGGUGGGUUCAAAGUCCAUCAUUAAUCCAAGUCUGCCUUCAUCAAUGAGAUAUAUCAUAUUAUCUCAUACUAUCUCCCUUUGAUUACCCCACAAAUCGAAUGAAGAGGAUUGUGCACUUUGGGCGAAAACUGCUCUGGAACACAUAGCCCAGCUUUUCGAGAAAUACCCAUGAGAGACAAACUGCAGUCGACCACUAUACGAAAGUGCUCUUUUAUCCCAUCUCGAUAUUAGAUCAUCGAGAUCCACAAUGAUGUGUUGGCAAUCCUUGUGUGAUAUGGAUUUGUCCGUAAUUGGUGCCCCCGAGUGUUGAAAAAAGUGGCAGUUGGUUCAAUUGGAAUCCCAAUAUGUUCGUAAGCUCUUCGACUCUUUUGGAGAAUACCACAUAACUAAAUCUAAAAUUAAAAAUUUGGUGAAGUCAUCAAGUAUGUACCUGGUUAUACCGACGUUCGCGCAAAGAAUAUGACAUCGUCAGCAAAGGUGAGGAAUGACAACACUUUUGUCCCCCUAUAUCAUAGAGCUCGAUGUCCCCCCGUAUCCAAAUAAGCAUUUGUCAGCCUUGCAAAAUAUUCCAAUACUAGUAUAAACUGGAUGUCUUGUCUUACCUCUCUGGUCGUUUGGAAUAUCUCCGUCGGUGAGCCUUUGAUAAGUGAAACGAAAGACAAUGAUUUGAGGUUUUCUUAGAUGAGUUCCUUGAAAAUUGAAUUGAACCCAAAUAAUUCCAGCAUGGAGUCCACCGUCUUCCAUCUCAACCUAUCGAAGGCUUUACGAAAGUCCACCGAUAUGCAACAUCGUCUUAAUAUAGCUUUGUUAUUGUAGCCAUGGUACCAACACGUAGGAAGGAAGGUCUCAUCGGUAAUAAUUUAGUAAAGUAAACACAAUAAUAAACAAAAAUACCUUCUUAAUAUAAAAAAGUAUUCUUAAUAAAAAUAAACAAAUAAUAAAGUAUUUGUCUUAGACUCUCAGUUGCAUAACU
This 4899-nucleotide long non-coding RNA is filed under the name Zostera marina. Its description in RNAcentral is "long non-coding RNA (ZMAR_LNC001902)". The record is from RNAcentral. Lineage: Eukaryota; Viridiplantae; Streptophyta; Magnoliopsida; Alismatales; Zosteraceae.